AUGGGGUUCCUCCUGCUGCUUCACGUCCUCCUGGCCGCGACGGCGGCGGCGAGGGCUCCGGCGGCGCGGGCGUGGGGCGAGGAGGGCCACUUCAUGACCUGCAAGAUCGCCGAGGGCUUUCUGACGAGCGAGGCGUCGGCGGCGGUGAAGGAGCUCCUGCCGUCGUGGGCCAACGGCGAGCUCGCGGCGGCGUGCUCGUGGCCGGACGCCGUGCGGCGCCAGAUGCCGUGGUCCAGCUCCCUGCACUUCGCCGACACCCCCGGCGACUGCAAGUUCAGCUAUGCCAGGGACUGCCACGGCACGAAAGGGGAGAAGGACAUGUGCGUGGUGGGAGGCAUCAACAACUACACCGCCGCGCUCCAGGACUCCUCAAGCCCGUAUAACCGGACGGAGAGCCUGCUGUUCCUGUCGCACUUCCUGGGCGACAUCCACCAGCCCAUGCACUGCGGCCGCACCGCCGACCUCGGCGGCAACACCAUCCUCGUCCACUGGUACAACACGACCAAGACCAACCUUCACAAGGUGUGGGAUGUGAACGUCAUCGAAACGGCCCUCAACAGGUUCUACAAGGACGAUCUGAGCACCAUGAUCAACGCCAUCAAGCUCAACCUUACUAACGAGUGGUGUAAAGAAGAGAACCAGUGGGCGGCGUGCUAUCCUCGAACGACAACUUGCGCUGACAAGUACGCCGAGGAGAGCGCGGAGCUGUCGUGCCCCGCGUACGUGGGCGCUGAGCAAGGAUCCAACUUGGAAGAUGAGUACUUCUUCUCGGCGCUGCCGGUCGUCGAGAAGAGGAUUGCCCAGGGAGGCGUCAGGCUGGCGGCGAUCCUCAACCGGAUCUUCAGCGGGAAGAACAACAGCAGGAUUCAGAGCAGCUAA
RNAcentral lists this ribosomal RNA (879 nucleotides) under Triticum aestivum (bread wheat). RNAcentral's name for it is "partial small subunit ribosomal RNA". Lineage: Eukaryota; Viridiplantae; Streptophyta; Magnoliopsida; Poales; Poaceae. The record is from RNAcentral.